Rasamsonia emersonii CBS 393.64 is the source of this 74-nucleotide transfer RNA. It matches the Rfam family "tRNA". From Rfam's summary of the family: Transfer RNA (tRNA) molecules are approximately 80 nucleotides in length. Their secondary structure includes four short double-helical elements and three loops (D, anti-codon, and T loops). Further hydrogen bonds mediate the characteristic L-shaped molecular structure. tRNAs have two regions of fundamental functional importance: the anti-codon, which is responsible for specific mRNA codon recognition, and the 3' end, to which the tRNAs corresponding amino acid is attached (by aminoacyl-tRNA synthetases). tRNAs cope with the degeneracy of the genetic code in two manners: having more than one tRNA (with a specific anti-codon) for a particular amino acid; and 'wobble' base-pairing, i.e. permitting non-standard base-pairing at the 3rd anti-codon position. The record is from Rfam. Lineage: Eukaryota; Fungi; Ascomycota; Eurotiomycetes; Eurotiales; Trichocomaceae.
GGUCCCGUAGCUCAGUCGGUUAGAGCGUGGUGCUAAUAACGCCAAGGUCGCGAGUUCGACCCUCGUCGGGACCA